This 229-nucleotide ribosomal RNA is filed under the name uncultured bacterium. RNAcentral's name for it is "partial 16S ribosomal RNA". It matches the Rfam family "Bacterial small subunit ribosomal RNA", at positions 568 to 796 of the family's 1533-position model. The record is from RNAcentral.
UGCGUAGGCGGGGCAAUUAGUCAGUGGUGAAAUCCUGCGGCUUAACCGUAGAACUGCCAUUGAUACUGUUGCCCUUGAGUAUAGUUGAGGUGGGCGGAAUGUGUAAUGUAGCGGUGAAAUGCAUAGAGAUUACAUAGAACACCAAUUGCGAAGGCAGCUCACUAAGCUAUCACUGACGCUGAGGCACGAAAGCGUGGGGAGCGAACAGGAUUAGAUACCCUGGUAGUCC